Small nuclear RNA from Cavia porcellus (domestic guinea pig), 103 nucleotides. Lineage: Eukaryota; Metazoa; Chordata; Mammalia; Rodentia; Caviidae. The record is from Ensembl.
GUGUUGUAUGAAAGAGAUUAGCACUCCUCUUAACAAGAAUGAAAGAAGCCUUGGGCCUGACAACAUACCUGAAGUUUGACUGGUUCCAUAAAUUGGUCUUUGU